AUGACCUAUGAAUUGACAGCCAGUCCUCCUACUCCUUCCUGGCUGUCAGUUCUGUAGGGCACAA
RNAcentral lists this microRNA precursor (64 nucleotides) under Gekko japonicus. RNAcentral describes it as "Gja-Mir-192-P4_pre stem-loop". It matches the Rfam family "mir-192/215 microRNA precursor family", at positions 9 to 68 of the family's 76-position model. Rfam says of the family: This family represents the human microRNA (miRNA) precursors mir-192 and mir-215. The record is from RNAcentral. Lineage: Eukaryota; Metazoa; Chordata; Lepidosauria; Squamata; Gekkonidae.